AUGAAUUGACGGGGGCCCGCACAAGCGGUGGAGCAUGUGGUUUAAUUCGAUGCAACGCGAAGAACCUUACCUGGUCUUGACAUCCACAGAACUUUCCAGAGAUGGAUUGGUGCCUUCGGGAACUGUGAGACAGGUGCUGCAUGGCUGUCGUCAGCUCGUGUUGUGAAAUGUUGGGUUAAGUCCCGCAACGAGCGCAACCCUUAUCCUUUGUUGCCAGCGGUUAGGCCGGGAACUCAAAGGAGACUGCCAGUGAUAAACUGGAGGAAGGUGGGGAUGACGUCAAGUCAUCAUGGCCCUUACGACCAGGGCUACACACGUGCUACAAUGGCAUAUACAAAGAGAAGCGACCUCGCGAGAGCAAGCGGACCUCAUAAAGUAUGUCGUAGUCCGGAUUGGAGUCUGCAACUCGACUCCAUGAAGUCGGAAUCGCUAGUAAUCGUAGAUCAGAAUGCUACGGUGAAUACGUUCCCGGGCCUUGUACACACCGCCCGUCACACCAUGGGAGUGGGUUGCAAAAGAAGUAGGUAGCUUAACCUUCGGGAGGGCGCUUACCACUUUGUGAUUCAUGACUGGGGUGAAGUCGUAACAAGGUAACUGCAUUCGAAACUGGCAGGCUAGAGUCUUGUAGAGGGGGGUAGAAUUCCAGGUGUAGCGGUGAAAUGCGUAGAGAUCUGGAGGAAUACCGGUGGCGAAGGCGGCCCCCUGGACAAAGACUGACGCUCAGGUGCGAAAGCGUGGGGAGCAAACAGGAUUAGAUACCCUGGUAGUCCACGCCGUAAACGAUGUCGAUUUGGAGGUUGUGCCCUUGAGGCGUGGCUUCCGGAGCUAACGCGUUAAAUCGACCGCCUGGGGAGUACGGCCGCAAGGUUAAAACUCAAAUGAAUUGACGGGGGCCCGCACAAGCGGUGGAGCAUGUGGUUUAAUUCGAUGCAACGCGAAGAACCUUACCUGGUCUUGACAUCCACAGAACUUUCCAGAGAUGGAUUGGUGCCUUCGGGAACUGUGAGACAGGUGCUGCAUGGCUGUCGUCAGCUCGUGUUGUGAAAUGUUGGGUUAAGUCCCGCAACGAGCGCAACCCUUAUCCUUUGUUGCCAGCGGUUCGGCCGGGAACUCAAAGGAGACUGCCAGUGAUAAACUGGAGGAAGGUGGGGAUGACGUCAAGUCAUCAUGGCCCUUACGACCAGGGCUACACACGUGCUACAAUGGCAUAUACAAAGAGAAGCGACCUCGCGAGAGCAAGCGGACCUCAUAAAGUAUGUCGUAGUCCGGAUUGGAGUCUGCAACUCGACUCCAUGAAGUCGGAAUCGCUAGUAAUCGUAGAUCAGAAUGCUACGGUGAAUACGUUCCCGGGCCUUGUACACACCGCCCGUCACACCAUGGGAGUGGGUUGCAAAAGAAGUAGGUAGCUUAACCUUCGGGAGGGCGCUUACCACUUUGUGAUUCAUGACUGGGGUGAAGUCGUAACAAGGUAACCGUAGGGGAACCUGCGGUUGGAUCACCU
This 1501-nucleotide ribosomal RNA is filed under the name Klebsiella pneumoniae. RNAcentral describes it as "bacterial SSU rRNA". The stretch from base 431 to 1501 matches the Rfam family "Bacterial small subunit ribosomal RNA". Lineage: Bacteria; Pseudomonadati; Pseudomonadota; Gammaproteobacteria; Enterobacterales; Enterobacteriaceae. The record is from RNAcentral.